This 497-nucleotide ribosomal RNA is filed under the name uncultured bacterium. Its description in RNAcentral is "partial 16S ribosomal RNA". It matches the Rfam family "Bacterial small subunit ribosomal RNA", at positions 28 to 507 of the family's 1533-position model. The record is from RNAcentral.
GAUGAACGCUGGCGGCGUGCCUAAUACAUGCAAGUCGAGCGAACGGACGAGAAGCUUGCUUCUCUGAUGUUAGCGGAGGACGGGUGAGUAACACGUGGAUAACCUACCUAUAAGACUGGGAUAACUUCGGGAAAGCGUAGCUAAUCCCGGAUAAUAUUUUGAACCGCAUGGUUCAAAAGUGAAAGACGGUCUUGCUGUCACUUAUAGAUGGAUCCGCGCUGCAUUAGCUAGUUGGUAAGGUAACGGCUUAUCAAGGCAACGAUGCAUAGCCGACCUGAGAGGGUGAUCGGCCGCACUGGAACUGGGACACGGUCCAGACUCCUACGGGAGGCAGCAGUAGGGAAUCUUCCGCAAUGGGCGAAAGCCUGACGGAGCAACGCCGCGUGAGUGAUGAAGGUCUUCGGAGCGGAAAACUCGGUUAUUAGGGAAGAACAUAUGUGUAAGUAACUGUGCACAUCGUGACGGUACCUAAUCAGAAAGCCACGGCUAACUACGUG